RNA transcript from Rhinopithecus roxellana (golden snub-nosed monkey), 1754 nucleotides. It is a transcript of the gene named surfeit locus protein 6 pseudogene, with no coding region annotated. Lineage: Eukaryota; Metazoa; Chordata; Mammalia; Primates; Cercopithecidae. The record is from RefSeq and is a predicted model, not a curated record. The transcript has a single exon.
CUCGCCAAGGACGCCUAUCUGCAGAGCCUGGCCAAGAAGAUCUGCUCCCAUUCGGGCCCGGAGCAGCAGGCGCGGACGCGGGCUGGCAAAACUCGAGGCUCAGAAGCUGCAGGGCCCCCAAAAAAGAAAAGGAAGAAAACACAAAAGAAAUUCCGGGAGCGGGAAGAGAAGGCUGCUGAGCACAAGGCCAAGUCCUUGGGAGAGAAGUCUCUAGCAGCCUCUGGGGCCAGGAGGCCUGAGGCAGCCAAAGAGGAAACAGCUUGGGCUUCCAGUUCAGCAGGAAACCCUGCAGAUGGCCUGGCCACUGAGCCUGAGUCUGUCUUUGCACUGGAUGUUCUGCGACAGCGACUGCAUGAGAAGAUCCAGGAGGCCCGGGGCCAGGGCAGUGCCAAGGAGCUGUCCCCUGCCGCCCUGGAGAAAAAGCGGAGAAGAAAGCAGGAACGGGACCGGAAGAAGAGGAAGCGAAAGGAGCUGCGGGCGAAAGAGAAGGCCAGGAAGGCUGAGGAGGCCGCGGAGGCCCAGGAGGCGGUGGAGCCAACGCCAGAGGGGGCCUGCACGGAGCCGCGGGAGCCACCGGGGCUGAUCUUCAAUAAGGUGGAGGUGAGCGAAGACGAGCCGGCCAGCAAGGCUCAGCGCAGAAAGGAGAAGAGGCAGAGGGUGAAAGGGAACCUCACGCCGCUGACCGGGAGGAACUACCGGCAGCUGCUGGAGCGCCUGCAGGCACGGCAGAGCCGGCUGGACGAGCUGCGCGACCAGGAUGAGGGGAAGGCGCAAGAGCUGGAGACCAAGAUGAAGUGGACCAACCUCCUAUACAAGGCGGAGGGCGUGAAGAUCCGCGAUGACGAACGCCUGCUGCAGGAGGCCCUGAAGCGGAAGGAGAAGCGCAGGGCGCAGCGACAGCGCGGGUGGGAGAAGCGCACGGCCGGCGUGGUGGAGAAGAUGCAGCAGCGCCAGGACCGGCGUCGGCAGAACCUGCGCAGGAAGAAGGCGGCCCGCGCCGAGCGCCGCCUGCUCAGGGCCCGCAAGAAGGGCCGCAUCCUGCCGCAGGACCUGGAGCGCGCAGGCCUGGUCUGAGCCUUUCCCACCGGGGGUGCCGUCUCUGUCCUGGGAGGCUCCAGGGGACCCUCUGAGUCCUUGAUGCGGGCUCUGUCCCAGGAUCUCCACAGACCGCGGCCUCUGCGUGUGAGGGGGACACUGUCGUGCUCUGCUGAGUUGUGAGGGCUCAGAUCACGUGUGUGAAAGAGAAUGUUUCUGCGUCAUCCUUGAAAACAGGGUCUGGGGCCUUCAGACCCAGGGAAAGGGCGAGCCACACUGGGGCCCAGCCUGCUUUCCUGGGCCCGAAAGCUUCCCCGAGGUUUGCAGGGUCAGGGAGGAGGAACGGUGGGGGUGGGCAGUCACUGCCCCUUCCCCCCUGCCUGUGUUCUCAGGAGCCACAGGACAGAAGAGGGUGGCCUCUGCUGCCGAGCCACGUUAGUCCGCAGCUGACUAGAACAGAGGACAGCCCUGAGGUGUGGCGUGUGGGCACCUUUCACUCGGGAGUGGUGGGAGCACGUCCAGGCGUGAUGCGUCCUGGGGCAGAACGCCACGUCUCCUCCCCCUUCUCUUGGCUUCUGCCUGUUGGGGUCUCAUUCCUUUCUGUUCCUCAGUGCCUCUGGGCGGCAUUUCACCUCCGAAUUCAGAGGGAGGGAGGGAGCAGUACCUUCCCAGAGUCCACGCGUGUGAGUUGGGUCAAGUGCAUUGGCCCAAGGGAAAGA